This 995-nucleotide ribosomal RNA is filed under the name uncultured bacterium. RNAcentral describes it as "bacterial SSU rRNA". It matches the Rfam family "Bacterial small subunit ribosomal RNA", at positions 355 to 1375 of the family's 1533-position model. The record is from RNAcentral.
UGGGGAAUAUUGCACAAUGGGGGAAACCCUGAUGCAGCGACGCCGCGUGGAGGAAGAAGGUCUUCGGAUUGUAAACUCCUGUUGUUGGGGAAGAUAAUGACGGUACCCAACAAGGAAGUGACGGCUAACUACGUGCCAGCAGCCGCGGUAAAACGUAGGUCACAAGCGUUGUCCGGAAUUACUGGGUGUAAAGGGAGCGCAGGCGGGAAGACAAGUUGGAAGUGAAAUCUAUGGGCUCAACCCAUAAACUGCUUUCAAAACUGUUUUUCUUGAGUAGUGCAGAGGUAGGCGGAAUUCCCGGUGUAGCGGUGGAAUGCGUAGAUAUCGGGAGGAACACCAGUGGCGAAGGCGGCCUACUGGGCACCAACUGACGCUGAGGCUCGAAAGUGUGGGUAGCAAACAGGAUUAGAUACCCUGGUAGUCCACACCGUAAACGAUGAUUACUAGGUGUUGGAGGAUUGACCCCUUCAGUGCCGCAGUUAACACAAUAAGUAAUCCACCUGGGGAGUACGACCGCAAGGUUGAAACUCAAAGGAAUUGACGGGGGCCCGCACAAGCAGUGGAGUAUGUGGUUUAAUUCGACGCAACGCGAAGAACCUUACCAAGUCUUGACAUCCCUUGACAGACAUAGAAAUAUGUAAUCUCUUCGGAGCAAGGAGACAGGUGGUGCAUGGUUGUCGUCAGCUCGUGUCGUGAGAUGUUGGGUUAAGUCCCGCAACGAGCGCAACCCUUAUGGUCAGUUACUACGCAAGAGGACUCUGGCCAGACUGCCGUUGACAAAACGGAGGAAGGUGGGGACGACGUCAAAUCAUCAUGCCCUUUAUGACCUGGGCUACACACGUACUACAAUGGCGUUUAACAAAGAGAAGCAAGACCGCGAGGUGGAGCAAAACUCAAAAACAACGUCUCAGUUCAGAUUGCAGGCUGCAACUCGCCUGCAUGAAGUCGGAAUUGCUAGUAAUCGCGGAUCAGCAUGCCGCGGUGAAUACGUUCCC